AGGGCACCACCAGGAGUGGAGCCUGCGGCUUAAUUUGACUCAACACGGGAAAACUCACCCGGCCCGGACACCGUAAGGAUUGACAGACUGAGAGCUCUUUCUCAAUUCGGUGGGUGGUGGUGCAUGGCCGUUCUUAGUUGGUGGAGCGAUUUGUCUGGUUAAUUCCGAUAACGAACGAGACUCUGGCCUAUUAAAUAGACGGUAUAUUUAAAAGUAUAUCGCACUUCUUAGAGGGACAAGCGGCGUCUAGCCGCAUGAAAUAGAGCAAUAACAGGUCUGUGAUGCCCUUAGAUGUCCGGGGCUGCACGCGCGCUACACUGAAAGAAUCAGUGGGCGUUAUUCCUAGUCCGGAAGGACUGGGUAACCCAAGUAAAUUCUUUCGUGCUUGGGAUAGGGAAUUGCAAUUAUUUCCCUUAAGCGAGGAAUUCCCAGUAAAUGCGGGUCAUAAGCUCGCGUUGAUUACGUCCCUGCCCUUUGUACACACCGCCCGUCGCUACUACCGAUUGGAUGACUUAGUGA
This 519-nucleotide ribosomal RNA is filed under the name uncultured eukaryote. Its description in RNAcentral is "SSU rRNA". It matches the Rfam family "Eukaryotic small subunit ribosomal RNA", at positions 1161 to 1704 of the family's 1831-position model. The record is from RNAcentral.